This 473-nucleotide ribosomal RNA is filed under the name uncultured organism. RNAcentral's name for it is "partial 16S ribosomal RNA". It matches the Rfam family "Bacterial small subunit ribosomal RNA", at positions 331 to 796 of the family's 1533-position model. The record is from RNAcentral.
GUACACUCCUACGGGAGGCAGCAGUGGGGAAUUUUGGACAAUGGGCGAAAGCCUGAUCCAGCAAUGCCGCGUGUGUGAAGAAGGCCUUCGGGUUGUAAAGCACUUUUGUCCGGAAAGAAAUCCUUGGCUCUAAUACAGUCGGGGGAUGACGGUACCGGAAGAAUAAGCACCGGCUAACUACGUGCCAGCAGCCGCGGUAAUACGUAGGGUGCGAGCGUUAAUCGGAAUUACUGGGCGUAAAGCGUGCGCAGGCGGUUUGCUAAGACCGAUGUGAAAUCCCCGGGCUCAACCUGGGAACUGCAUUGGUGACUGGCAGGCUAGAGUAUGGCAGAGGGGGGUAGAAUUCCACGUGUAGCAGUGAAAUGCGUAGAGAUGUGGAGGAAUACCGAUGGCGAAGGCAGCCCCCUGGGCCAAUACUGACGCUCAUGCACGAAAGCGUGGGGAGCAAACAGGAUUAGAAACCCGUGUAGUCC